This 265-nucleotide ribosomal RNA is filed under the name uncultured bacterium. Its description in RNAcentral is "partial 16S ribosomal RNA". It matches the Rfam family "Bacterial small subunit ribosomal RNA", at positions 333 to 590 of the family's 1533-position model. The record is from RNAcentral.
GGAUCCCUAGGGGGGCAGCAGUGGGGAAUAUUGGACAAUGGGCGCAAGCCUGAUCCAGCCAUGCCGCGUGUGUGAAGAAGGCCUUAUGGUUGUAAAGCACUUUAAGCGAGGAGGAGGCUACUUUAGAUAAUACCUAGAGAUAGUGGACGUUACUCGCAGAAUAAGCACCGGCUAACUCUGUGCCAGCAGCCGCGGUAAUACAGAGGGUGCAAGCGUUAAUCGGAUUUACUGGGCGUCAAGCGCGCGUAGUCGGCUAAUUAAGUCA